Molecule: long non-coding RNA, 2466 nt
Organism: Eriocheir sinensis (Chinese mitten crab)
Lineage: Eukaryota; Metazoa; Arthropoda; Malacostraca; Decapoda; Varunidae
Exons: 3
Source: RefSeq, a predicted model, not a curated record
GAGAGAGAGAAAAUGCAAUAGUCACCGCCUUAACCUCCUCUCCGUGUAGAAAACGAGCCACCGGUUAAAAAGAAAAUGGGAUGUUGAACUUUACUGGUAUCCUUAUUAUCUUUCAUCAUCAUCAUUAUUACAGAACGCCUUUACCAGUUUUCAUCAUCAAUAUUUACUUUUUAUUUUUAUUUUUAUUUGUUUCCCUUCAUCAUUCAUUUCGUAGCUUCUUAGACAAUAAAGAAACACAAUAAGUAAAUACAAAGGGUGCUUUUUACAUGUAUAGACUCAGAUUAUUAGGACAAAUUUAGCUGCCUCGUCCAAUUGAGCUAACCUGGUCAAAUAUCUCUUACCUAGUGAAGACGAAGCUUACCUGGGCAAUAUAAACUUUACCUGGUCAACAUAAACCUUACCUGUCCAAUGUUAUCUGCUCACCUCACCAAAUAUAAGCUUACCUGGUCUAUAUGAAUCUUACCUGGCCUAUGUGAAGCUUACCUGGGCAAUAUAAACUUUACCUGGUCAACCUAAACCUUACCUGUCCAAUGUUAUCUGCUCACCUCACCUCACCAAAUAUAAGCUUACCUGAUCUAUAUGAAGCUAACCUGGGCAAUAUGAAUCUUACCUGGCCUAUAUGAAGCUUACCUGGCCUAUAUGAAUCUUACCUGGCCUAUGUGAAGCUUACCUGGGCAAUAUUAUAACCUUACCUGGGCAGUAUUCAAUUUACCUGGCUAAAUAUUACCUCACCUUACUUGGGCAAAUUUAACAAGGACCAUAUUGGGAUACCUUGGCAGAUCUCAAAAUAAUUAGAGUAAUAAUAAUAAUGAUAAUUUGUUGAGGGAGAGUAAUGUUCAGGUAAAUUUUAAGAUAGAAAUUUACUUUAAUACGAUACUUCAUUACAUUUCAUCAGGGUGUUUUUUUUUUUUUUCGGGUUACAAAAAUGGUAACUGGUCAAAUAUUUCCAUGUCAAUAUAUGUCACUUCUUUUAUUACCUUCAGAUCUACAUUCCUCUGUUCACCUUAACUUGGCAAACAGGCCCCACCCCCUUUCUCUAAUUCUUGCACAUCAUUGACCAGUCCUCUAGCAAGCCCCGCCCCCUCUCCGACUCAGCCUGCGUGUGAUUGGUGGAUGCUGGAGAAGAUUGAAUCUUAUUGGUGGAUGCUGUGAAAGGUUGAAUCUUAUUGGUGGAUGCUGUGAAAGGUUGAAUCUGAUUGGUGGAUGCUGUGAAAGGUUGAAUCUUAUUGAUGGAUGCUGGGAAAGUUUGAAUCUGAUUGGUGGAUGCUGGGAAAGGUUAAAUCUUAUUGGUGGAUGCUGGGAAAGGCUGAAUCUGAUUGGUAGAUGCUGGGAAAGGUUAAAUCUUAUUGGUGGAUGCUGGGAAAGGCUGAAUCUGAUUGGUAGAUGCUGGGAAAGGUUGAAUCUUAUUGGUGGAUGCUAGGAAAGGCUGAAUCUGAUUGGUAGAUGCUGGGAAAGGUUAAAUCUUAUUGGUGGAUGCUAGGAAAGGCUGAAUCUGAUUGGUGGAUGCUGGGAAAGGUUAAAUCUUAUUGGUGGAUGCUAGGAAAGGCUGAAUCUGAUUGGUGGAUGCUGGGAAAGGCUGAAUCUGAUUGGUAGAUGCUGGGAAAGGUUAAAUCUUAUUGGUGGAUGCUGGGAAAGGCUGAAUCUGAUUGGUAGAUGCUGGGAAAGGUUAAAUCUUAUUGGUGGAUGCUGGGAAAGGCUGAAUCUGAUUGGUAGAUGCUGGGAAAGGCUGAAUCUGAUUGGUGGAUGCUGGGAAAGGUUAAAUCUGAUUGGUGGAUGCUGGGCAGGCCCUGGCGAAGCUUAUAUAUCAAGUUAAUAUGAACAGAGAAAAGUGCCAUGUUAUUAUAUCAUUUUAUUCAUUAUUCAUUCCUACAUUAUACAUAUCUUUAAUAUAUACUUUUCUGACAAUUAUUUCACAUUCAUAUUUUGUUAAUUUUCUUAGAUUACAAAAUUGUGAAAAUACAUUAAUACAUAAAUGAAGAAAACGAUUAAUUUUCACACAUUCAUCGCUGCAUUCCACAUCUUUUAUUUAAAUAUUUUUACAGUUAUUUAAUUCUCAUCUUUUGGCUCUAUUUUCUUUGCUUACAAAACUACAUAGGAAAAAAAAAUCCAUACCAUCAUCGCUACACUCCCGAGCUAUUUUAUUUUUUACUUCUUUAUUUGAUUUUUUACAAUAAUUUUACACACUCAUUUUCUGUCCCAUUUUCUUUCAUUACAAAACAAUUAAAGAAAACGGGUGAUCUUGCCUACACGAAGCGGAGGUAAAGGCGGAAACUAAUCUAAAAACAACCUGAAUUUGACCUUAUUGACGGAUGACGGAGAGGCGACUAACGGUAACAAUAAUAAUGAUAAUAAUAAUGAUAAUAAAGAUAAUAAAAAUAAGGACGGCCUCUAAGCUUGCCUCACAGAAAGGUGCCAAACCGAUGCCUGUAUAACCUUUUUUUUUUAAGCCUUUUACGCGUGAGUGGA